UGGCCCCUGGCGCAAUUGGCAGCGCUACAGAUUUUGAAUCUGUCGGUUGCGGGUUCGAGUCCCGCGGGGCCUAC
This 74-nucleotide transfer RNA is filed under the name Virus Rctr197k. RNAcentral describes it as "tRNA-Gln". It matches the Rfam family "tRNA". Rfam says of the family: Transfer RNA (tRNA) molecules are approximately 80 nucleotides in length. Their secondary structure includes four short double-helical elements and three loops (D, anti-codon, and T loops). Further hydrogen bonds mediate the characteristic L-shaped molecular structure. tRNAs have two regions of fundamental functional importance: the anti-codon, which is responsible for specific mRNA codon recognition, and the 3' end, to which the tRNAs corresponding amino acid is attached (by aminoacyl-tRNA synthetases). tRNAs cope with the degeneracy of the genetic code in two manners: having more than one tRNA (with a specific anti-codon) for a particular amino acid; and 'wobble' base-pairing, i.e. permitting non-standard base-pairing at the 3rd anti-codon position. The record is from RNAcentral. Lineage: Duplodnaviria; Heunggongvirae; Uroviricota; Caudoviricetes.